RNAcentral lists this long non-coding RNA (214 nucleotides) under Ananas comosus (pineapple). RNAcentral describes it as "long non-coding RNA (ACOM_LNC039160)". The record is from RNAcentral. Lineage: Eukaryota; Viridiplantae; Streptophyta; Magnoliopsida; Poales; Bromeliaceae.
AUAAUCCUAACAUAUUCCCAGAUUUUUGAAAUUUUUUGACACUAUGCAUUUUCUGCUAAAUAACAGUCUCGAUUCACACAGAAAAUUCAAAAUCUUCUAUUCUCGCUCCGAUUUCCGCACGAGUCGAUCCCGACUUAUAUUUUACUUCUAUAAGUCCAAUAAAAAUAGUAUCUCACACUAUUUUUAUUUAUAUUUAUUUUUAUAAUAAAUUCCG